UGCAAGUCGUACGGGCCGGGCCCGCAAGGGUCCGGUCAGUGGCGCAAGGGUGAGUAAGGCGACGGUAACCUACCCCGGGACUGGGCAUAGCCGCGGGAAACCGCGGGUAAUUCCCAGCGAUGUCAGGUUCGGGCAUCCGAGCCUGACCAAAGCUCCGGCGUCCUGGGACGGGCCGUCGUGGUAUUAGGUCGUUGGCGGGGUAACGGCCCACCAAGCCUGCGAUGCCUACCGGGCGUGCGAGCGUGGCCCGGCACACUGGGACUGAGACACUGCCCAGACUCCUACGGGAGGCUGCAGUCGAGAAUCUUCGGCAAUGGGCGCAAGCCUGACCGAGCGACGCCGCGUGGAGGACGAAGGCCUUCGGGUUGUAAACUCCUGUCAGGGGGAAAAG
This 391-nucleotide ribosomal RNA is filed under the name uncultured Planctomycetia bacterium. RNAcentral's name for it is "bacterial SSU rRNA". It matches the Rfam family "Bacterial small subunit ribosomal RNA", at positions 56 to 448 of the family's 1533-position model. The record is from RNAcentral. Lineage: Bacteria; Pseudomonadati; Planctomycetota; Planctomycetia.